RNAcentral lists this ribosomal RNA (460 nucleotides) under uncultured bacterium. RNAcentral describes it as "partial 16S ribosomal RNA". It matches the Rfam family "Bacterial small subunit ribosomal RNA", at positions 338 to 795 of the family's 1533-position model. The record is from RNAcentral.
CCUACGGGAGGCUGCAGUGAGGAAUAUUGGUCAAUGGACGAGAGUCUGAACCAGCCAAGUAGCGUGAAGGAUGACUGCCCUAUGGGUUGUAAACUUCUUUUAUAUGGGAAUAAAACGUUCCACGUGUGGGAUUUUGUAUGUACCAUAUGAAUAAGGAUCGGCUAACUCCGUACCAGCAGCCGCGGUAAUCCGGAGGAUCCGAGCGUUAUCCGGAUUUAUUGGGUUUAAAGGGAGCGUAGGUGGAUUGUUAAGUCAGUUGUGAAAGUUUGCGGCUCAACCGUAAAAUUGCAGUUGAAACUGGCAGUCUGGAGUACAGUAGAGGUGGGCGGAAUGCGUGGUGUAGCGGUGAAAUGCUUAGAUAUCACGAAGAACUCCGAUUGCGAAGGCAGCUCACUGGACUGCAACUGACACUGAGGCUCGAAAGUGUGGGUAUCAAACAGGAUUAGAUACCCUAGUAGUC